CAAUGAUCCUGACCUCUGGGAGGCUUUGAAGAAGGCAAACUUAAGGGAUGUCAUCAGAAGGAAUGAUUGUGGUUUGGAUGCAGAGGUAAAACCAUAAAUUCUCUUCGUCAACCAGUUUAUUUCAACUUCUUCUCAUAUUUAAAUGAGUAAAUGUAGCAUUAAACUCAAAAGCUGUUCGUUGCUGAAAAAUUUUGUUAUGUCUGUGUCAAGGUUUUAGAAGGAGGUGAGAACUUCAGUGUUGGACAGAGGCAACUAUUAAGUCUAUCUCGAGCAUUACUACGAAGAUCAAAGAUCCUUGUUCUUGAUGAAGCAACAGCAGCUGUUGACUUUAGAACUGAUGCUCUUAUACAGAAAACCAUUCGUGAAGAAUUCAAAUUGUGCACGAUGCUUAUCAUUGCUCACCGAAUAAAUACAAUCAUCGACAGUGACCAGAUUCUAGUUCUCGAUGCUGGACAGGUAUCUCGCCAUAACAUUGUGGUUUACUUCCCUUUUCUCCACUUGAAAUUCUCUGUUCGGUUAACAAAAUUCAAAACCAUCGAAAGCUGAAGAAAAUUCAAUAUUGUGAAUUCAUUGUGUUUCACUUACAGGUUGUUGAAUAUGAUACUCCACAAAAACUUCUUCAAAGUGAAGGACGAGCUUUCUAUAAAAUGGUUCAGAGUACGGGAACUGCAAAUGCUCAGUACCUGCGCAGUUCAGUAUCAAGAAAGAACGAAGAGAAUAAGUUCAAGAAUGGAGGGGGUAUACUCUGAGCAAAUAAGAUGGCGAUUAUCUUCUUCUGUAAUGCCGCUACACAGUUUGCUCUUGCGGCCAAUAUUGCUUCAUCAGUAAAGGACCUUCAAGUGUUAGAGUUUGAAGAGGGGAACAAUAUCUUCAAUAAAACAAAGGAUGCAAUGGUACAAUGUGAUCAAUGAGACUACGGAGCAAAGGAAAAAAUGUAAUUUUUAUUCCUUUUAAUAAGGAAACAGUCACCCUUUUAUGGAUGGAUUACAACUAAUAAAAGAUAAGAGAUAAGCUUCGGUAAAACAAAUAUAUAAAGCUACUAAAUCUACAUCUGUAUAUCUGGAUUUCUAGAAGGAUAAAUAUAUGUGUACCGAA
Molecule: long non-coding RNA, 1095 nt
Filed under: Olea europaea subsp. europaea
Lineage: Eukaryota; Viridiplantae; Streptophyta; Magnoliopsida; Lamiales; Oleaceae
Source: RNAcentral